RNAcentral lists this ribosomal RNA (270 nucleotides) under uncultured archaeon. Its description in RNAcentral is "partial 16S ribosomal RNA". It matches the Rfam family "Archaeal small subunit ribosomal RNA", at positions 477 to 747 of the family's 1478-position model. The record is from RNAcentral.
CAGCACCUCAAGUGGUCAGGAUGAUUAUUGGGCCUAAAGCAUCCGUAGCCGGCUCUGUAAGUUUUCGGUUAAAUCUGUAUGCUCAACAUACAGGCUGCCGGGAAUACUGCAAAGCUAGGGAGUGGGAGAGGUAGACGGUACUCGGUAGGAAGGGGUAAAAUCCUUUGAUCUAUUGAUGACCACCUGUGGCGAAGGCGGUCUACCAGAACACGUCCGACGGUGAGGGAUGAAAGCUGGGGGAGCAAACCGGAUUAGAUACCCGAGUAGUCC